Molecule: long non-coding RNA, 1383 nt
Organism: Amphiprion ocellaris (clown anemonefish)
Lineage: Eukaryota; Metazoa; Chordata; Actinopteri; Pomacentridae
Exons: 3
Source: RefSeq, a predicted model, not a curated record
UCCUGUCUGUCACUGCUCUGCACUCAGCCCUGUCACAGCACCACGCUGUAUCUGGCGUUUGUUUCCUUUCCAAAACUGCUCCGAACUCCGAUUAAAAGUAGCAAUUGGGCUAAAACAGCUCCACGAAACUCCUCAUCCUCUCAUCUACCUCUCUGGCGAUCGAUACAUCUCCCCAUAUCCCGGCGGAUCCUCGUAUUAAACCCCCCCGUGUUCGCACUACUCACCGGUCAGGUUGUUUUUUUUCCCCCCUUCCUUCUGAUUAAUUCUCUUCGAUGGCGAGCUAUCCCGUCCCCUACCUCCUGCUGCGGUAGGACACCUUUUGUUGUUUCAUCGAACCUGGAUCAAGGAUUGUUUUGUUCAUGGACACUGAACUGAAAAAAAGACUUUGAAUUCCGAACCUCUCAAAAGGAGGCUUUGAACUGAACUUUGAACUGUAAUUCCCGACCUGGUGAUCUUUUGUUUGGUUUUGAACUUUCGAACUGUAUUGGUUUUUGUUUUAUAAUUAAUAUACAUAAUAUAAUAUUAAUACCAUAACUAAUAUUAUAUUAUACUAUAUUAAUUGAUUAUACCUGUUUAUUAUCUAUAUAUUUAUAUUAUACAUACCUCAUACUAUUUCACCCUUACUAUUGUUAUUAUUACUCUGGUUAUUAUACAAUACCUUUUAUUUAUACGCAAAUCCAAUUACAAAUUUUGAAAAAAUACAUCUACGAAACUUAAAUCAACCGUGUCUGUCCAUUUUUCAUACCCUUUGGCUCCAGCAGACGAACCUGGUCUGAUCACUCAUUAUAACAUCUACUUGCAGUCAGUUCCCUAGCCCCUAGGGCAUUACAAAUCACAUGUUUUUUUGUUUUUUGUUUUUGCCUCUAAACUCUCAUUUGUACAAUAGCACAUUCUAUGUUGCUGGCUUCAUUUAUUUCUUUUUUUUUAAUUCAAAGUUUUAUCUUUCAAAGCUUGAUCAGAUUUUCUGUUCAAAACAAAGAGGGAAGAUCCACAAACAUUUUUGAGAAAAGUAUGAGAAACUAACAAAAUUAUAUGACACAAAGAAGAAGGUGAAUAAAAAUGGCUAACGUGUAAUGGGGAAAAUAGUAACCAUUAUUAAAUUAUUGUGAUUAAAUAGUGACAUAAAGGUUUGGUUAAGUUUUGGUGAGAUUUGGUUUGUAAUACACUGUAAAAAAAAUACUACAUCGUAUGUUGUUCAGCAUAAAUAUACAUUACAAAUUGUUAGGCCUUAAAUGUAAUUCAUUCAGCAUAAAUAUACAUUACAAAUUGUUAGGCCUUAAAUGUAAUUCAUUCAAAAAAGCAAGUAAAAAUGUAAGAAAUCAAGCUUGUCUCUUGUUGUAGUGAAUGUGACUCCUGAUCUCUCUGAGUCUUUGUGACAAUAAA